This is a long non-coding RNA of Cervus elaphus (red deer), 1567 nucleotides long. RefSeq lists it as uncharacterized. NCBI's taxonomy places the organism in Eukaryota, Metazoa, Chordata, Mammalia, Artiodactyla, Cervidae. The record is from RefSeq and is a predicted model, not a curated record. The transcript has 4 exons.
GUCUGCUGCUAAGGUACACAAGUCACGGUGCUCAUUCCAGAUGCCAAGGCCAUUAGCAGGGAACUUCAGGCUCCUAUGUGGUCAAGGCAUAGUGGAGAAGUAAAUUCUCAUUCCCUGAUACUUGAACUCCCUCUGGGACAGAGCAAGCCUUGACAGAGGAUGGAGAGGGGGGAAUGUUGGAGAAGAACUAGGGAAUCCCUUGUUCAGCUCCGGUAAAGAGUCCAGCAUGGAGUUGGCUACUCUGAUUGAGUUCUCCCUUUUUUCUCUGGGUAUUCAGAAGGUGCUGGACUCCGGCUUCCUGGAGUAGUGACAGUGGGUAUUACAUGGAGCAGUGAUUUGGGCAAAACUGUAAGUUAGGGAGAAUUAGGUUUUGCUGCUCACAUAAAACUUUCUAUCAUAAUUUCUCCUUUAAAACUUCUUAUUAAAAAAACCUUUUUUUUCACCCAAAAAUCCUCCAUCACAAUAUCCACUGGUUUCAGGCCUCAUCUACUCCUCCUCCAUGGCCCUAGUACCCAACCACUGGGCUGGCCUUUCCCAAGCAGUGUUACUUCCUCUGGACCUUGCUCCCUACCUGACCCACACACUUGUCUUCACCUGAUCCCUCUCUAUCUCCCACCACAGUUAAGAUUCAGCUUUCAUAGAUACUGUCUCCGAAGGCCCUAUGAGCAAAACUCUGGGAGAUAGUGAAGGACAGGGAAGCCUGGCAGGCUGCAGUCCAUAGGGUGCCAAAGAAGCGGACACAACUCAGUGACUGAACAACAACUUGGGAAAACUUUAAUAACCAUAACCCACUAAACUGUUGUCAAGAUAUGUAUGUGUCUGGAUCUUGUCACUUACACAGCAAGGAACGUCAGGAGCGGUGACUGCCUUCGUUCCAUCUUUUCAAGGAUGUCUCUACAGCAAAUAGCAUCGAAAGAAAGAAAGAGCCCGGGGCACAGGGCAGAUGUGACUGGAGUGAUUUGCGCCCGGAUGCUUAGACUGGCCAUCUGCUCAGAGGCUGCUCAGGAAGACCCACCCAUGUGCUCUUCUGUCGCAGACUAGCCUGCUCUGCCUGCGGCUUGGGUUUCCAGGACCUCACCAACAACCAUCUCUUCCUGCCACUUUGAAUUAGAUUUCUCUGGAUAUCUCAGGUAAGUGGAUCCAUUCAUUGUAUGUCCUUUUGCAUCUGGCUUAUUUCAUUUAGAAUGAUGUCUUUAAUGUUCAUCCAUGUUGUAGCACGUGCCAGUUUCUUUCCUUUUUAAGGCUUAUCAAAUAUAAGGCUGGUAUUUGAUUUAUAUAAUUUUGUUUAUCCGUUCAUCUGGCAGUAGACACGAGAGUUUUCUAUGUUUUGAUUGCUGUGAAUAUAAUGCUGCUAUUAACAUGAGCAUGAAGAUAUCUAAGUCUCUGAUUUCACUUCUUUUGGAUAUAUAUCCCAAAGUGGAAUUGUUGGGUCAUGUGGUAACUCUUUAAUUUUUGGUGAAACAAGCAUACUAUGUUUCAUAAUGGCUGCACCAUUUUGCAUGCCCACAAGCAGGGCACAAUUUUCCCACAUCCUUGCCAAUAAUUCUUAUUUUCUCUUUUGUUUUUU